GACGAACGCUGGCGGCGUGCUUAACACAUGCAAGUCGAGCGGUAAGGCCCUUUCGGGGGUACGACGAGCGGCGAACGGGUAGAGUAACACGUGGGUGACCUGCCCUCCAGCUCUGGGAGUAAGACCUGGGAAACCGGGGUACUAAUACCGGAUAUGACUCCAUGACGCAUGUUGUGGGGUGGAAAGCCUUGUGCGGCUGAGGAUGGGCCCGCGGCCUAUCAGCUUGUUGGUGGGGUGAUGGCCUACCAAGGCGACGACGGGUAGCCGGCCUGAGAGGGCGACCGGCCACACUGGGACUGAGACACGGCCCAGACUCCUACGGGAGGCAGCAGUGGGGAAUCUUGCGCAAUGGGCGAAAGCCUGACGCAGCGACGCCGCGUGAGGGAUGACGGCCUGUGUAC
Molecule: ribosomal RNA, 401 nt
Filed under: uncultured bacterium
Lineage: Bacteria
Description: bacterial SSU rRNA
Rfam family: Bacterial small subunit ribosomal RNA
Source: RNAcentral